UCAUCGUCCUGUUAAAACUAAAUUCAAUUUGCCAUGAAUUAUGUGAAAUAACAUAAAUGCUCCUUUGAUAUAUAUACUUUUCAUCCUUCUAUUGUAAGGAGGGAAAGGUGACGCUGCCAUUCUUUCUUAGUUUCCGCGGAAAUGAGAGCAACAGAAAACAAUUCAAUGGACUUUAUAAUCUCCUCUCUCAAACGGCUUUAAACAAGUCCCUUUGGCAG
This 218-nucleotide unclassified non-coding RNA is filed under the name Hevea brasiliensis (rubber tree). Lineage: Eukaryota; Viridiplantae; Streptophyta; Magnoliopsida; Malpighiales; Euphorbiaceae. The record is from RNAcentral.